AAACUUUGGUCAAAUCUAAAAACAAAACAACGGAAUGCGCUGACAACAGAAAAGCAACAUCGCCUUGCAACUGGGGUCGGUCCAUCAAUUCCAGAUUCUGAAGUUGAUCCUGAUAUUGCACUUAUUGCCCCAAACUUAAUUAAAACUGCACCGAUUUUAUUUUCUUCAAAUAUGUCUGAAGAAGAAGUUACUAGGACGUUUUCAUCUUUUUUUCCUUCUCUAAGUGUAAUGCUGUUGACUCAAUGGAAUGUGAAGAAUACAUAAGCCUUGAACAACUAUUCCCAGAUGAUGAGAAUGAUGGCAAUGAUGAUGAAGAAUUACCACGUGAACCCUCAUCGUCUAUUGUUACUAAAAAAUCCUCAACAAUCUAGGAAAAGAACUAAAGGAAGAAAAAAUCCACCCAAUGAAGACGAGAAAUUCUAUAGAAGCGAAAGG
Molecule: long non-coding RNA, 435 nt
Filed under: Cotesia glomerata
Lineage: Eukaryota; Metazoa; Arthropoda; Insecta; Hymenoptera; Braconidae
Description: uncharacterized LOC123270038
Source: RNAcentral